AUACGUAGGUGGCGAGCGUUAUCCGGAAUUAUUGGGCGUAAAGGGAGCGUAGGCGGAUAUUUAAGUGGGAUGUGAAAUACCCGAGCUUAACUUGGGAGCUGCAUUCCAAACUGAAAGUCUAGAGUGCAGGAGAGGAGAAGGGAAUUCCUAGUGUAGCGGUGAAAUGCGUAGAGAUUAGGAAGAACACCAGUGGCGAAGGCGCUUCUCUGGACUGUAACUGACGCUGAGGCUCGAAAGCGUGGGGAGC
Molecule: ribosomal RNA, 247 nt
Filed under: uncultured bacterium
Lineage: Bacteria
Description: partial 16S ribosomal RNA
Rfam family: Bacterial small subunit ribosomal RNA
Source: RNAcentral